RNAcentral lists this ribosomal RNA (253 nucleotides) under uncultured bacterium. Its description in RNAcentral is "partial 16S ribosomal RNA". It matches the Rfam family "Bacterial small subunit ribosomal RNA", at positions 524 to 776 of the family's 1533-position model. The record is from RNAcentral.
UACGGAGGGUGCAAGCGUUAUCCGGAUUCACUGGGUUUAAAGGGUGCGUAGGUGGGUAAGUAAGUCCGUGGUGAAAUCUCUGAGCUUAACUCAGAAACUGCCGUGGAUACUAUUUAUCUUGAAUAUUGUGGAGGUGAGCGGAAUAUGUCAUGUAGCGGUGAAAUGCUUAGAUAUGACAUAGAACACCAAUUGCGAAGGCAGCUCACUACACAAUUAUUGACGCUGAGGCACGAAAGCGUGGGGAUCGAACAGG